UCCGUAGGUGGAUAAUUAAGUCAGAGGUGAAAUCCUGCAGCUCAACUGUAGAAUUGCCUUUGAUACUGGUUAUCUUGAGUUAUUAUGAAGUAGUUAGAAUAUGUAGUGUAGCGGUGAAAUGCAUAGAUAUUACAUAGAAUACCAAUUGCGAAGGCAGAUUACUAAUAAUAUAUUGACACUGAUGGACGAAAGCGUGGGGAGCGAACAGGAUUAGAUACCCUGGUAGUCC
This 229-nucleotide ribosomal RNA is filed under the name uncultured bacterium. RNAcentral's name for it is "partial 16S ribosomal RNA". It matches the Rfam family "Bacterial small subunit ribosomal RNA", at positions 568 to 796 of the family's 1533-position model. The record is from RNAcentral.